AGAGUUUGAUCCUGGCUCAGGACGAACGCUGGCGGCGUGCCUAAUACAUGCAAGUAGAACGCUGACUACUUUAGCUUGCUAGAGUAGAAGGAGUUGCGAACGGGUGAGUAACGCGUAGGUAACCUGCCUACUAGCGGGGGAUAACUAUUGGAAACGAUAGCUAAUACCGCAUAACAGUGUUUAACACAUGUUAGAUGCUUGAAAGAUGCAAAUGCAUCACUAGUAGAUGGACCUGCGUUGUAUUAGUUAGUUGGUGGGGUAACGGCCUACCAAGGCGACGAUACAUAGCCGACCUGAGAGGGUGAUCGGCCACACUGGGACUGAGACACGGCCCAGACUCCUACGGGAGGCAGCAGUAGGGAAUCUUCGGCAAUGGGGGCAACCCUGACCGAGCAACGCCGCGUGAGUGAAGAAGGUUUUCGGAUCGUAAAGCUCUGUUGUAAGAGAAGAACGUGUGUGAGAGUGGAAAGUUCACACAGUGACGGUAACUUACCAGAAAGGGACGGCUAACUACGUGCCAGCAGCCGCGGUAAUACGUAGGUCCCGAGCGUUGUCCGGAUUUAUUGGGCGUAAAGCGAGCGCAGGCGGUUUAAUAAGUCUGAAGUUAAAGGCAGUGGCUUAACCAUUGUUCGCUUUGGAAACUGUUAAACUUGAGUGCAGAAGGGGAGAGUGGAAUUCCAUGUGUAGCGGUGAAAUGCGUAGAUAUAUGGAGGAACACCGGUGGCGAAAGCGGCUCUCUGGUCUGUAACUGACGCUGAGGCU
Molecule: ribosomal RNA, 762 nt
Filed under: uncultured bacterium
Lineage: Bacteria
Description: bacterial SSU rRNA
Rfam family: Bacterial small subunit ribosomal RNA
Source: RNAcentral